GGACCAAUAUGUCGGUCGUGCCUCGGUACGUACUGGCAUCGUUGGUUUCUCCUUUCUGAAGAACCAUGAUGUCAUUUAUUUGGUGUCGUGGGGAAUCAGGACUGUUACUCUUAGAAAAAAUUAGAGUGUUUAAAGCAGGCUCACGCUUGAAUACAUUAGCAUGGAAUAAUGAAAUAGGACGUCUGAUUCCAUUUUGUUGGUUUCUAGGAUCGAAGUAAUGAU
RNAcentral lists this ribosomal RNA (222 nucleotides) under uncultured Glomeromycotina. RNAcentral's name for it is "partial 18S ribosomal RNA". The stretch from base 46 to 222 matches the Rfam family "Eukaryotic small subunit ribosomal RNA", at positions 693 to 869 of the family's 1831-position model. Lineage: Eukaryota; Fungi; Glomeromycota. The record is from RNAcentral.